Molecule: ribosomal RNA, 269 nt
Filed under: uncultured prokaryote
Description: partial 16S ribosomal RNA
Rfam family: Bacterial small subunit ribosomal RNA
Source: RNAcentral
GACGGAGGUUGCGAGCGUUGUUCGGAAUUACUGGGCGUAAAGGGGGCGCAGGCGGCUUGGUCAGUCUGAAGUGAAAGCCCGGGGCUCAACCCCGGAAGUGCUUUGGAUACUUCCAAGCUUGAGUACGCGAGAGGAGAGUGGAAUUCCAGGUGUAGCGGUGAAAUGCGUAGAUAUCUGGAGGAACACCGGUGGCGAAAGCGGCUCUCUGGCGCGAUACUGACGCUGAGGCCCGAAAGCGUGGGGAGCGAACGGGAUUAGAUACCCUCGUA